This 253-nucleotide ribosomal RNA is filed under the name uncultured bacterium. RNAcentral describes it as "partial 16S ribosomal RNA". It matches the Rfam family "Bacterial small subunit ribosomal RNA", at positions 524 to 776 of the family's 1533-position model. The record is from RNAcentral.
UACGUAGGGUGCGAGCGUUGUCCGGAAUUAUUGGGCGUAAAGAGCUCGUAGGCGGUUUGUCGCGUCUGCCGUGAAAGUCCGGGGCUCAACUCCGGAUCUGCGGUGGGUACGGGCAGACUAGAGUGAUGUAGGGGAGACUGGAAUUCCUGGUGUAGCGGUGAAAUGCGCAGAUAUCAGGAGGAACACCGAUGGCGAAGGCAGGUCUCUGGGCAGUAACUGACGCUGAGGAGCGAAAGCAUGGGGAGCGAACAGG